This 253-nucleotide ribosomal RNA is filed under the name uncultured bacterium. RNAcentral describes it as "partial 16S ribosomal RNA". It matches the Rfam family "Bacterial small subunit ribosomal RNA", at positions 524 to 776 of the family's 1533-position model. The record is from RNAcentral.
UACGUAGGGGGCAAGCGUUGUCCGGAUUUAUUGGGCGUAAAGAGCGUGUAGGCGGCUUGGUAGGUCCGCUGUGAAAACUCGAGGCUCAACCUCGAGAUGUCGGCGGAAACCACUUGGCUAGAGUCCGGAAGAGGAGAGUGGAAUUCCUGGUGUAGCGGUGAAAUGCGCAGAUAUCAGGAAGAACACCUAUGGCGAAGGCAGCUCUCUGGGCCGUAACUGACGCUGAGGAGCGAAAGCGUGGGGAGCGAACAGG